Molecule: long non-coding RNA, 313 nt
Filed under: Lotus japonicus
Lineage: Eukaryota; Viridiplantae; Streptophyta; Magnoliopsida; Fabales; Fabaceae
Description: long non-coding RNA (LJAP_LNC001490)
Source: RNAcentral
CGUUAUCAACCUCUGAAAACUCACAUGCAACACAAGAACAUUCAGAGCUUACUUGACCUAUGCUCUCCUGUAUGCACAUGUACGCACAAGCAAUAUCACAUGCUUCUGCUCAGCAGUACUUUUUGUCCAUUUCCACUUUAGCACUAGAUAUUAUACUACAAUCACAUGACAAAAACUAUACUAUUAUUACAUCAAAUCUUGAAAAUUAAAAUCACACUUUAGCUUCACUGCAGUAAAAACAUCACAGCUUUGGAUCAUUUCAUAUUCACUACCCACAACCCGAUCCAUUUCUCGGGUUACCCAUCAACAAGCC